This is a long non-coding RNA of Oxyura jamaicensis (ruddy duck), 1798 nucleotides long. RefSeq lists it as uncharacterized. The record is from RefSeq and is a predicted model, not a curated record. The transcript is spliced from 2 exons. Lineage: Eukaryota; Metazoa; Chordata; Aves; Anseriformes; Anatidae.
UGAACUGUCAUCAUCAGUUAGGACUGGGUUCAUCAGCCAAAUUUCACCUGUACAACAUGUCUACUUUUAUUUUAUACUGCUAUAAACUAUACUAUCGGAUAAAAUGGACUGUGGUAAUGUCUGGAGUUGAAGAAAGUACAGGCAGAGAUUGCUGCCUUUGGCAGCCCAUCACAGUCAUCUUAAGUACAUGUUUGGCCCAGGGGUAACAGGAGGUUGCCUUGUUUGUGUAGCAGUGGAGCUUUAGAGCCACCCCAUUAAGGGACAGCACUGUUUCUCCUCUUUAAAGAAAGGAGGAGAAAGGGGACUCUAAGAGUUACUGUUUUUGCAACCAGUCUGCAUUCAGCUGGAAUGAUGCUUUCUCCACACGAGUGGGCAUGUCAGAAUACUGACACUGGCAGUAGCCUUUCAUUACUGAUGUUCAAGCUGAAUUCUGUACCCAUAAAAGUAAACCAUUGCUGAUUCUAGAAAUACUCCUACAUACACUUGUAUUACUACCAUCAUUAGUGCCAGUACAGAAGCUACAGUUGAAACUGAUGAGGGGAAGAUCAGUCAUGCUUGAAACUUGUUCCAUGAAAUGGUGCGUUAUAUUGCAAGAUUUUAAUAUGCACACCUUUAGUGAAAGUUUGUAGGAAAGUCCUAGAAGUGGUAAUGAAACCUCAAAUGGCACUGCAGUAGUGAUACUGUGCUCUUAGCACUUCCUGGUCAUUGCUGUCCCAGAGUUCCAAUUUGCUGUCCUUACACAAGACACAGUGGAUACAUUCAAUGUUGAGAUAGUAGCAGCUUCCUUACUAUGCUAUGACUUAGCACUGGUGAAGUAAAAAUUGUGUAUUUGGCAUUUGGUCAUUGAUAUGAUCAUUAACUUUUUUAAAUGAAAAAUUUUACGUUGUUGGCAUGAACAUUACAAGGGUUUAUUAAAUUAUUUGCUUGUCAUCUCUGACAAAGUGCUAAACAAAGUUCUACAGCUAGUCAUCUAGAAACAAGGGGUGGCAUUGCCAAGCAUAGUAGCACUUCCUAAACACUGUCAAAUGUGUUGCAGAGAAAGUCAGUAUGGUUGAUUGGUACAGCUGUCAAAUUGCUCAAAUACAGAGAUUGAUGCUUUGUCAGUUGUGUACGGAGACGAUUACUCUGAAGUUCAGGAGUAUGGACUGCUUUCUGCUCUGGUGUUUUGUGAUAACCAGACUAUUUAUAGAAAGAUCGUUACCAGAAGGAUAUGCAGAUGGACCUUGCAGAAGGGAGGAUCCUUCUAGAAAUAGUCUGGUUAUCACACAACUAUAUGUCAGAGCAGAAAGCAUCUUACAGGCAUUUUGAAAUGUUUUUGUAGCCAGGUAAAUACAAAGUAUGGAGAACAGAAUUGCAACCCAGUAUGUGGAUUUCCAUGCUGUCAGCUUUGGAAGCAUUCAGUUGCUUUUGUGCAAAUUCAGCAAUGUGGAAAGGACUGCAUGUUCUUAGUGCUUCACAGUGACACCCAACACACGUGGUGUGAAAGGUUCUUGAUCAGGAUGGACUUCCAGAACCCUUUUACUGUCAAAGAGGUCACAAAACAGUCUGCAUCCUUUGCCACUUCUGAUUAACAUUUCGUUUGUCGAGUCAACAGGAAAGGCGUCCACAUUCAAUACCACAUAGAUGGCAGAAUAUUUAACCUGAACAUUAAAUCAAAGGUCGUAUAUCUGCUGAAUUGUGUUACUUGCUCUUUGGUGAUGACUGAGUAUUGGUUAUUCACACAUAUGUAAGCAGAUGACAUAUUAUUGACUGUUUCAGCCCCUCUGCCAAGUGGUUUGGCCAGGCCAUUAGCAUAGAG